RNAcentral lists this ribosomal RNA (384 nucleotides) under Triticum aestivum (bread wheat). Its description in RNAcentral is "partial small subunit ribosomal RNA". The record is from RNAcentral. Lineage: Eukaryota; Viridiplantae; Streptophyta; Magnoliopsida; Poales; Poaceae.
AUGGAACAUGUAGCAGAGAUCUUUAGCCCAGCAUUGAUUACCCUUUGUAUGCAAUACAGAAACUAUCGAUUAGAACUUCCAGAACAAAGCUUUGAUCCAACAUUCUUGGUCACACUUGCUGGAGGAUCAACAAAAUUAUGUUCACUGGGUGUCGCUGCCCUCUCCCAUCUCUUUGCAGGAAACUUCUUGUUCGGAAAUCAUCUGGUGGCCUUUGACGGACUAGCCGAGGAGGAGAGAAUGAAACGACAGGUUGAUGAGCAGCAGAAGGAGUUGCAUCAGCAAGAGCCCGCUCAUCUGCCGGUCCAGUAUUGUCCCUUUGGACAUGGAACCACAGUCCAUCCUUUGGUGCGCCUGACCCUGACAGUCAUCAAAAUGAAAUUCUAA